UCUAUAUAUAAUAUAAUUAACAGAAUUCAGUUUUGGCGGGAGGAAGGUACAACUCAUUAUCAGCACAACUGGGAGGCCCCCACAUUUCUGGGAUUGGCUGGGCAGCCGGCGUUGAAAGAAUUAUUGAUAUACUCAACAGUAAAAAUAUUCACGUGGCACCGUUAAAAAAAGAAAUAUUAUUGGCCGUGUUAGAAGUGCAAUUUAAAGAAGAUUCUAACAAAAUUUCCACUAUCACUUACUUUUGUAUGCAAGUUGCACAACAAUUGCGGGAAAAUGGCUUCAAAGUCCUUCAAUUAUAUGAAGGACCCAUUUCUAAAAAACUGUCUAAAGCCGUUAACAAGGGCGCCCAUGCUGGGAUUUUAAUUGGAGCGACGGAAUUUGAAAAAAAGGAAGUCUUAUUGAAAAAUUUUAGUACUGGACAGCAAGAAAACAUUAAAUUUAGUGAACUUUUAUUUGA
Molecule: long non-coding RNA, 457 nt
Organism: Zophobas morio
Lineage: Eukaryota; Metazoa; Arthropoda; Insecta; Coleoptera; Tenebrionidae
Exons: 5
Source: RefSeq, a predicted model, not a curated record